UACAGGGGGUGCAAACGUUGCUCGGAAUUAUUGGGCGUAAAGCGCGCGUAGGCGGCUACUUAAGUCGGAUGUGAAAGCCCCUGGCUUAACUGGGGAAGUGCACCCGAAACUGAGUAGCUAGAGUGCGAAAGAGGGUCGCGGAAUUCCCGGUGUAGAGGUGAAAUUCGUAGAUAUCUGGAGGAACGCCGGUGGCGAAAGCGACUUGCUGGCUCGUAACUGACGCUGAGGCGCGAAAGCUAGGGGAGCAAAC
Molecule: ribosomal RNA, 250 nt
Filed under: uncultured bacterium
Lineage: Bacteria
Description: partial 16S ribosomal RNA
Rfam family: Bacterial small subunit ribosomal RNA
Source: RNAcentral